GACGAACGCUGGCGGCGUGCUUAACACAUGCAAGUCGAACGGAAAGGCUCUGCUUUUGUGGGGUGCUCGAGUGGCGAACGGGUGAGUAACACGUGAGUAACCUGCCCUUGACUUUGGGAUAACUUCAGGAAACUGGGGCUAAUACCGGAUAGGAGCUCCUGCUGCAUGGUGGGGGUUGGAAAGUUUCGGCGGUUGGGGGUGGACUCGCGGCUUAUCAGCUUGUUGGUGGGGUAGUGGCUUACCAAGGCUUUGACGGGUAGCCGGCCUGAGAGGGUGACCGGCCACAUUGGGACUGAGAUACGGCCCAGACUCCUACGGGAGGCAGCAGUGGGGAAUAUUGCACAAUGGGCGGAAGCCUGAUGCAGCAACGCCGCGUGCGGGAUGACGGCCUUCGGGUUGUAAACCGCUUUCGCCUGUGACGAAGCGUGAGUGACGGUAAUGGGUAAAGAAGCACCGGCUAACUACGUG
This 468-nucleotide ribosomal RNA is filed under the name uncultured bacterium. RNAcentral describes it as "partial 16S ribosomal RNA". It matches the Rfam family "Bacterial small subunit ribosomal RNA", at positions 28 to 507 of the family's 1533-position model. The record is from RNAcentral.